GAUGAACGCUGGCGGCGUGCCUAAUACAUGCAAGUCGAGCGAACAGACGAGGAGCUUGCUCCUCUGACGUUAGCGGCGGACGGGUGAGUAACACGUGGAUAACCUACCUAUAAGACUGGGAUAACUUCGGGAAACCGGAGCUAAUACCGGAUAAUAUAUUGUACCGCAUGGUUCAAUAGUGAAAGACGGUUUUGCUGUCACUUAUAGAUGGAUCCGCGCCGCAUUAGCUAGUUGGUAAGGUAACGGCUUACCAAGGCAACGAUGCAUAGCCGACCUGAGAGGGUGAUCGGCCACACUGGAACUGAGACACGGUCCAGACUCCUACGGGAGGCAGCAGUAGGGAAUCUUCCGCAAUGGGCGAAAGCCUGACGGAGCAACGCCGCGUGAGUGAUGAAGGUCUUCGGAUCGUAAAACUCUGUUAUUAGGGAAGAACAAAUGUGUAAGUAACUAUGCACGUCUUGACGGUACCUAAUCAGAAAGCCACGGCUAACUACGUG
Molecule: ribosomal RNA, 497 nt
Filed under: uncultured bacterium
Lineage: Bacteria
Description: partial 16S ribosomal RNA
Rfam family: Bacterial small subunit ribosomal RNA
Source: RNAcentral